GACGAACGCUGGCGGCGUGCCUAAUACAUGCAAGUAGAACGCUGAAGGAGGAGCUUGCUUCUCUGGAUGAGUUGCGAACGGGUGAGUAACGCGUAGGUAACCUGCCUGGUAGCGGGGGAUAACUAUUGGAAACGAUAGCUAAUACCGCAUAAUAGUAGAUGUCGCAUGACAUUUGCUUAAAAGGUGCAAUUGCAUCACUACCAGAUGGACCUGCGUUGUAUUAGCUAGUUGGUGAGGUAACGGCUCACCAAGGCAACGAUACAUAGCCGACCUGAGAGGGUGAUCGGCCACACUGGAACUGAGACACGGCCCAGACUCCUACGGGAGGCAGCAGUAGGGAAUCUUCGGCAAUGGACGGAAGUCUGACCGAGCAACGCCGCGUGAGUGAAGAAGGUUUUCGGAUCGUAAAGCUCUGUUGUAAGAGAAGAACGAGUGUGAGAGUGGAAAGUUCACACUGUGACGGUAUCUUACCAGAAAGGGACGGCUAACUACGUG
RNAcentral lists this ribosomal RNA (495 nucleotides) under uncultured bacterium. Its description in RNAcentral is "partial 16S ribosomal RNA". It matches the Rfam family "Bacterial small subunit ribosomal RNA", at positions 28 to 507 of the family's 1533-position model. The record is from RNAcentral.